This 445-nucleotide ribosomal RNA is filed under the name uncultured bacterium. Its description in RNAcentral is "partial 16S ribosomal RNA". It matches the Rfam family "Bacterial small subunit ribosomal RNA", at positions 354 to 796 of the family's 1533-position model. The record is from RNAcentral.
GUGAGGAAUAUUGGUCAAUGGGCGCAAGCCUGAACCAGCCAUGCCGCGUGCAGGAAGACGGUCCUAUGGAUUGUAAACUGCUUUUAUUUGGGAAUAAACUCCGGUACGUGUACCGGCCUGAAGGUACCAAAUGAAUAAGCACCGGCUAACUCCGUGCCAGCAGCCGCGGUAAUACGGAGGGUGCAAGCGUUAUCCGGAAGCAUUGGGUUUAAAGGGUCCGCAGGCGGUCUUAUAAGUCAGUGGUGAAAGCCUACAGCUCAACUGUAGAACUGCCAUUGAUACUGUAGGACUUGAAUUCGAUCGAAGUGGGCGGAAUGUGACAUGUAGCGGUGAAAUGCUUAGAUAUGUCACAGAACACCGAUAGCGAAGGCAGCUCACUAGGUCUGGAUUGACGCUCAGGGACGAAAGCGUGGGGAGCAAACAGGAUUAGAAACCCGUGUAGUCC